GGAGGGAUGGCCGAGCGGCUGAAGGCGCUUCCCUGCUAAGGAAGUAUAGGGCUUAUCUCUAUCGAGGGUUCGAAUCCCUCUCCCUCCGCCA
Molecule: transfer RNA, 91 nt
Filed under: Rickettsiales bacterium
Lineage: Bacteria; Pseudomonadati; Pseudomonadota; Alphaproteobacteria; Rickettsiales
Description: tRNA-Ser
Rfam family: tRNA
About the family: Transfer RNA (tRNA) molecules are approximately 80 nucleotides in length. Their secondary structure includes four short double-helical elements and three loops (D, anti-codon, and T loops).
Source: RNAcentral